UCGAGGAUCUUCGGCAAUGGGCGCAAGCCUGACCGAGCGACGCCGCGUGGACGAUGAAGGCCUUCGGGUUGUAAAGUCCUGUCGAGGGGGAUAAAGGCGCAAGCUUGAUAUAUCCCUGGAGGAAGCACGGGCUAAGUUCGUGCCAGCAGCCGCGGUAAGACGAACCGUGCAAACGUUGUUCGGAAUCACUGGGCUUAAAGGGCGCGUAGGCGGCUUGCCAAGUCAGUGGUGAAAUCCUGCAGCUUAACUGUAGAAGUGCCUUUGAUACUGGCAGGCUCGAGGGAGGUAGGGGUCUGUGGAACUUCUGGUGGAGCGGUGAAAUGCGUUGAUAUCAGAAGGAACGCCGGUGGCGAAAGCGACGGACUGGACCUCUUCUGACGCUGAGGCGCGAAAGCUAGGGGAGCAAACGGGAUUAGAUACCCCCGUAGUCC
This 431-nucleotide ribosomal RNA is filed under the name uncultured bacterium. Its description in RNAcentral is "bacterial SSU rRNA". It matches the Rfam family "Bacterial small subunit ribosomal RNA", at positions 355 to 796 of the family's 1533-position model. The record is from RNAcentral.